UGCCAGCAGCCGCGGUAAUACGGAGGGUGCAAGCGUUAAUCGGAAUUACUGGGCGUAAAGCGCGCGUAGGCGGCUUGGUCAGUCGGAUGUGAAAGCCCCGGGCUUAACCUGGGAAUUGCAUUCGAUACUGCUGAGCUAGAGUAUGGGAGAGGGAAGUGGAAUUUCAGGUGUAGCGGUGAAAUGCGUAGAGAUCUGAAGGAACAUCAGUGGCGAAGGCGACUACCUGGACUGAUAUUGACGCUGAGGCGCGAAGGCGUGGGUAGCGAACGGGAUUAGAUA
This 279-nucleotide ribosomal RNA is filed under the name uncultured bacterium. Its description in RNAcentral is "partial 16S ribosomal RNA". It matches the Rfam family "Bacterial small subunit ribosomal RNA", at positions 506 to 784 of the family's 1533-position model. The record is from RNAcentral.